RNAcentral lists this ribosomal RNA (461 nucleotides) under uncultured bacterium. RNAcentral describes it as "bacterial SSU rRNA". It matches the Rfam family "Bacterial small subunit ribosomal RNA", at positions 28 to 497 of the family's 1533-position model. The record is from RNAcentral.
GAUGAACGCUGGCGGCGUGCUUAACACAUGCAAGUCGAACGGGAUCCCAGGAGCUUGCUCCUGGGUGAGAGUGGCGAACGGGUGAGUAAUGCGUGACCGACCUGCCCCAUACACCGGAAUAGCUCCUGGAAACGGGUGGUAAUGCCGGAUGCUCCAGUUGGAUGCAUGUCCUUCUGGGAAAGAUUCAUCGGUAUGGGAUGGGGUCGCGUCCUAUCAGCUUGAUGGCGGGGUAACGGCCCACCAUGGCUUCGACGGGUAGCCGGCCUGAGAGGGCGACCGGCCACAUUGGGACUGAGAUACGGCCCAGACUCCUACGGGAGGCAGCAGUGGGGAAUAUUGCACAAUGGGCGCAAGCCUGAUGCAGCGACGCCGCGUGCGGGAUGACGGCCUUCGGGUUGUAAACCGCUUUUGACUGGGAGCAAGCCCUUCGGGGUGAGUGUACCUUUCGAAUAAGCACCGGC